GUCCCAGUUAAUAUCUUUGAAGAACAUAUGCUGCUUCACCUCUGAUGCGCCUAUAGCUCCAAGUCGCUGGUUAGGAUCUUCUGUCAAUAAUCGAUCAAUUAAAUCUCGAGCAUCAUGGCUCAUCUCUUCAGGUAUCUGAGGCCAAGGGAUCUUACGGUUGAGAAUGUUAUCAAAUAUAGUCUGGGGAUGCUCUGCAUUGAAGGGCGGAAUGCCAACAAUUAGUUCAAAUAAAAUGAUCCCAACAGACCACCAGUCAGCUGUGGCGCCGUGUCCAGUUCCCAAUAGUAUCUCUG
RNAcentral lists this unclassified non-coding RNA (293 nucleotides) under Hevea brasiliensis (rubber tree). The record is from RNAcentral. Lineage: Eukaryota; Viridiplantae; Streptophyta; Magnoliopsida; Malpighiales; Euphorbiaceae.